ACAAGGAUGGUAAAAGGAUAGCCGAGGAACGGCGAAGCGAUAAGCAGGAUGUUAUCGCGUCUGGAUGACACAAGGAUCACUUCAGGACGAAGUCAGGGACACCGCCAGGAAGGUCGAAGAGAGUCAGGACAGGAUAGACUGACGGGUCAGGAAGGCCAAGGAACACGUCAGGAUGACGUUAAAAAAGGACAAUGCUGGCAGGAUGCAGCGGUCAACGGAAUGAUGCAGGGAGCACCAUCGUAGCGGGAUUGCUGCAAGUAAGACCUAAGGGCGCAACGCAAGUUGCGCCCGUUCUUUUAUCU
This 302-nucleotide non-coding RNA is filed under the name Photobacterium aphoticum. The record is from RNAcentral. Lineage: Bacteria; Pseudomonadati; Pseudomonadota; Gammaproteobacteria; Vibrionales; Vibrionaceae.